RNAcentral lists this unclassified non-coding RNA (353 nucleotides) under soil metagenome. Its description in RNAcentral is "partial contains 5.8S ribosomal RNA, internal transcribed spacer 2, and large subunit ribosomal RNA". The stretch from base 1 to 120 matches the Rfam family "5.8S ribosomal RNA", at positions 35 to 154 of the family's 154-position model. The record is from RNAcentral.
GAUGAAGAACGUAGCGAAAUGCGAUAAGUAAGGUGAAUUGCAGAAUUCAGUGAAUCAUCGAAUCUUUGAACGCACAUUGCGCCCGCCAGUAUUCUGGCGGGCAUGCCUGUUCGAGCGUCAUUACAACCCUCAGGCCCCCGGGCCUGGCGUUGGGGAUCGGCGGAAGCCCCCUGCGGGCACAACGCCGUCCCCCAAAUACAGUGGCGGUCCCGCCGCAGCUUCCAUUGCGUAGUAGCUAACACCUCGCAACUGGAGAGCGGCGCGGCCACGCCGUAAAACACCCAACUUCUGAAUGUUGACCUCGAAUCAGGUAGGAAUACCCGCUGAACUUAAGCAUAUCAAUAAGCGGAGGA